RNAcentral lists this ribosomal RNA (450 nucleotides) under uncultured crenarchaeote. RNAcentral describes it as "bacterial SSU rRNA". It matches the Rfam family "Archaeal small subunit ribosomal RNA", at positions 19 to 447 of the family's 1478-position model. The record is from RNAcentral. Lineage: Archaea; Thermoproteati; Thermoproteota.
GGACCCGACUGCUAUGGGGGUGGGACUAAGCCAUGCGAGUCAGCACCCCAGGCAAUGUUGGGGUCGGCGGACGGCUCAGUAAAACGUGGCUAACCUACCCUAGGGAUGGGGAUAACCCCGGGAAACUGGGGAUAAUCCCCAAUAGGAGAAGAGUGCUGGAAUGCCUCUUCUCCGAAAAGAUNCCAAGACAUGCUCUUGGCAUCGCCCUAGGAUGGGGCCACGUCCCAUCAGGUAGUUGGUGGGGUAACGGCCCACCAAGCCUAUAACGGGUACGGGCCGUGAGAGCGGGAGCCCGGAGAUGGGCACUGAGACAAGGGCCCAGGCCCUACGGGGNGCAGCAGGCGCGAAACCUACACAAUGUGCGAAAGCACGAUGUGGUCACCCCCAGUGCCACCCGCUGAGGGUGGCUUUUCCUCCGGUGUAAAAAGCCGGAGGCAAUAAGCGGGGGGC